GACGAACGCUGGCGGCGUGCUUAACACAUGCAAGUCGAACGGGAAGGCCCUGCUUUUGUGGGGUGCUCGAGUGGCGAACGGGUGAGUAACACGUGAGUAACCUGCCCUUGACUUUGGGAUAACUUCAGGAAACUGGGGCUAAUACCGGAUAGGAGCUCCUGCUGCAUGGUGGGGGUUGGAAAGUUUCGGCGGUUGGGGAUGGACUCGCGGCUUAUCAGCUUGUUGGUGGGGUAGUGGCUUACCAAGGCUUUGACGGGUAGCCGGCCUGAGAGGGUGACCGGCCACAUUGGGACUGAGAGACGGACCAGACUCCUACGGGAGGCAGCAGUGGGGAAUAUUGCACAAUGGGCGGAAGCCUGAUGCAGCAACGCCGCGUGCGGGAUGACGGCCUUCGGGUUGUAAACCGCUUUCGCCUGUGACGAAGCGUGAGUGACGGUAAUGGGUAAAGAAGCACCGGCUAACUACGUG
This 468-nucleotide ribosomal RNA is filed under the name uncultured bacterium. RNAcentral describes it as "partial 16S ribosomal RNA". It matches the Rfam family "Bacterial small subunit ribosomal RNA", at positions 28 to 507 of the family's 1533-position model. The record is from RNAcentral.